CGCUAGUGGCGGUCUAUAUAGCACCCGCGGGGGGACAGGGGUGUCACUUUCCAGAAGGACAGUCGGACAGCCAGCCAGCCGCAUCAACCCCCCUCAGUCAGGAUGUCUAUCACUAAGAUCCAUGCCCGGGAGAUCCUCGACUCCAGAGGAAACCCCACCGUGGAGGUGGACCUCUACACCGCCAAAGGCCGUUUCAGGGCAGCCGUGCCCAGCGGUGCCUCUACCGGUGUCCAUGAGGCUCUGGAGCUGAGAGAUGGAGACAAGUCACGCUAUCUGGGAAAAGGUAUCAUUAAGGCAGUAAGA
This is a long non-coding RNA of Salvelinus sp. IW2-2015, 303 nucleotides long. RefSeq lists it as uncharacterized. NCBI's taxonomy places the organism in Eukaryota, Metazoa, Chordata, Actinopteri, Salmoniformes, Salmonidae. The record is from RefSeq and is a predicted model, not a curated record.